RNAcentral lists this ribosomal RNA (832 nucleotides) under uncultured Didymella. RNAcentral describes it as "eukaryotic LSU rRNA". The stretch from base 442 to 832 matches the Rfam family "Eukaryotic large subunit ribosomal RNA", at positions 1 to 389 of the family's 3401-position model. Lineage: Eukaryota; Fungi; Ascomycota; Dothideomycetes; Pleosporales; Didymellaceae. The record is from RNAcentral.
GCUUUGCCUACCAUCUCUUACCCAUGUCUUUUGAGUACCUUCGUUUCCUCGGCGGGUCCGCCCGCCGAUUGGACAAACUUAAACCCUUUGUAAUUGAAAUCAGCGUCUGAAAAAACAUAAUAGUUACAACUUUCAACAACGGAUCUCUUGGUUCUGGCAUCGAUGAAGAACGCAGCGAAAUGCGAUAAGUAGUGUGAAUUGCAGAAUUCAGUGAAUCAUCGAAUCUUUGAACGCACAUUGCGCCCCUUGGUAUUCCAUGGGGCAUGCCUGUUCGAGCGUCAUUUGUACCUUCAAGCUCUGCUUGGUGUUGGGUGUUUGUCUCGCCUCUGCGUGUAGACUCGCCUUAAAACAAUUGGCAGCCGGCGUAUUGAUUUCGGAGCGCAGUACAUCUCGCGCUUUGCACUCAUAACGACGACGUCCAAAAAGUACUUUUUACACUCUUGACCUCGGAUCAGGUAGGGAUACCCGCUGAACUUAAGCAUAUCAAUAAGCGGAGGAAAAGAAACCAACAGGGAUUGCCCUAGUAACGGCGAGUGAAGCGGCAACAGCUCAAAUUUGAAAUCUGGCGUCUUUGGCGUCCGAGUUGUAAUUUGCAGAGGGCGCUUUGGCAUUGGCAGCGGUCCAAGUUCCUUGGAACAGGACGUCACAGAGGGUGAGAAUCCCGUACGUGGUCGCUAGCCUUUACCGUGUAAAGCCCCUUCGACGAGUCGAGUUGUUUGGGAAUGCAGCUCUAAAUGGGAGGUAAAUUUCUUCUAAAGCUAAAUACUGGCCAGAGACCGAUAGCGCACAAGUAGAGUGAUCGAAAGAUGAAAAGCACUUUGGAAAGAGAGUU